Molecule: ribosomal RNA, 253 nt
Filed under: uncultured bacterium
Lineage: Bacteria
Description: partial 16S ribosomal RNA
Rfam family: Bacterial small subunit ribosomal RNA
Source: RNAcentral
UACGUAGGGUGCAAGCGUUAAUCGGAAUUACUGGGCGUAAAGCGUGCGCAGGCGGUGAUGUAAGACAGGUGUGAAAUCCCCGGGCUUAACCUGGGAACUGCAUUUGUGACUGCAUCGCUGGAGUGCGGCAGAGGGGGAUGGAAUUCCGCGUGUAGCAGUGAAAUGCGCAGAUAUCGGGAAGAACACCCGUGGCUAAGGCGGCUCUCUAGUACGGUACUGACGCUGAGACGCGAAAGCGUGGGGAGCAAACAGG